CAGACAGCCCUGGAGACCAAAGUCAUCUUCUCCUUAUCUGCAGGACAGGCACAGCAUGGGCAGCAGCACAUGCUUCCCCUGCAUCACACUUUUCCAAUGUGCUUCAAGUCUGAUCCAGGAGGGAGCUCCUCCAGUGCUGAUUGGGGACGUCAGUAACCCAGACCCAUUCAGUCCUUGGCCAAU
Molecule: unclassified non-coding RNA, 183 nt
Organism: Chelonoidis abingdonii (Abingdon island giant tortoise)
Lineage: Eukaryota; Metazoa; Chordata; Testudines; Testudinidae
Source: Ensembl